Lagopus muta (rock ptarmigan) is the source of this 1329-nucleotide long non-coding RNA. RefSeq lists it as uncharacterized. Lineage: Eukaryota; Metazoa; Chordata; Aves; Galliformes; Phasianidae. The transcript has 4 exons. The record is from RefSeq and is a predicted model, not a curated record.
AAGAGAUUCUGGAGAUCCUUUCUCGUUGAAGCUUUCUUAUGUGAACCUAGAAUUUUCAGAAAUGGGGGCAAGACUGUGUGUGUGAGUAAGGGAUUGAUUUGCUUAUUUCUAGAGGGGAGGACUGCUUUCCGUUCUCACUGAUGGAGUAUUCAUUUACCUCCAGGUUGCCUUUUUUUGUGUGUGUGCGUGUCUGACUUGACUUGCUGACUAAACACGUUAGGACUUUUGAGGCAAAGAGUUUUCUCUGCAGGGCCAUAGAAGGAACAGUGUUCUCCCCCCCAGCCCAUCUGCCUGGUGAAGGAGUCUGCACAGCAGUGGGGAAGCUGCUUUGCCAUCUCACCUCCAGCUGACAGAGCUGGAGUUUAUCAGCAUGUUGACAACCCUGGACUGUUGAGACUGCUCCAAAUUACACUGGAAACAUUGGUAAUGAGAAUUUAGCCUUUGGAGUAGUGUGUAUGUGUGUGCCUUUUUAGAUGCAGGUUUUUACAGUUACGGUGCUCACUUGCAUCUAACACUCUUUGGAUAAAUAAAAAAAUCCCAUCCUGAACAUGUGUGUGUCUCCUGGCAGCCCAUACUCUCCAGUGUACCUCACUUCAAGGGAUGCCAGCUGUUUGAUUCCAAAAUCUGUGUUCUGCAUAAAUUGAUGCCUCUCUCUAUCUCCCUCCAAACACAAUCAUAGAAUGGCCUGGCUUGAAAAGGACUUCAGAGAUCAUCUAAUUUCAAUCCCCCUGCCUGCAGGGUUGCCAACCACUACACCAGGCUGCCUAGAGCCGCAUCGAGAAUCACAAUGUUGAGUUUAUUUGAAAGAGCCAUUUGUUCAGAAGAAAGAAGUGAUGUUAUUUUAUGCUUCCUAUGGGAAUUACUCAGCUUUGAUUUCUUCCUCUGACUUUUCAUACAUCCCUCCCCUCCUGUGGGACUGUGGCAGUCACCAGGUGACUUCUGCCUGGGCAGUUCCAGGCCAGACAUGGCUCUCUGGAGAAGCAAGUGAGCAUCUGUGCAGUUUCUUUGGACUGCUGUAUCUUUUCUCUCUAACACAGCAGAUUUAGCACCGAGCCCCUGCUGCACCCUGUUAUGACUCGCAGUCCAGAGGGUCUCUGCGGCCGUCCGUGCAAACGCACCGGCAGAAGUCUGAUAGUGGCGCGAACAGGCGGAGCAGAGAAAAGCGGUGCCGGGCCCAAAUGGGCGGUGAUAAAGCCACCCGUUGAGAAAACAUAGUGAGGCAACGGAGAAAACCUUUAAACUUAGAAUUGCAGCCCUGAGCCGCCCCUUUCCGAGGCGUAGCGAGGACCACCGGACCACCGCCCGCCUAAGGGGCCUCAAGAGCAGGAG